CGAAAUUUGGAAAUGCAGAGUAGCAAUUCACACUUACUAACCAUCAACCCCCAUUUUGAAUCUCACGUGAGUCUUCUUUCUCUCUUCCUUCACUUGAAUCUCACAAAGAAUCAUUUUCAUCUACCACCAUUUUCUUCAUAUUUUCAGAAAUUGAUACUCACUAUCAACCUACCCAUUAACUUAAAUUUCAUCUUUUUGAACAAGAUUGUUAAAUUUUAUUUCACUUUCCAUUGAAGUUUGGAGAUUGCAACUUAGUUUGGUUUCUAGAUCUGGAUUCAUUGAAUCUCAUUGUUGAUUUCUGAAAUCUUUGAACUUGAAGCAAAAUGGAUAUUGGUGAAAUUCUUGAAAUUUUUGAAGCAACAUAACUGGGGAAGGCAACAUAGCUGGGGAAGGUUCAGAGGACUUGGGCAGUAGCUCUUGUUCGAAGAGUGUUCUAUGUUCCUCGGAUGAAGAUGUGGAAGACACCUACAAUUCACUAACCUUAACUUCAUUAAGUACCUCUAGAUUCUCAUACAAGAAUUUGAUCAUUCAUGUCAUUGCAAUUGCCAUAGUGACCUGUCCUACAAUUUCAACCGCGGUACAAUAAAAUCUUGCGUACAUUAGCUUCAAAGCAGUGAUUCGAAACUACACAGUCUACUAAACCAAUACUAAAACAAAUUAACUCCAUAUAUGGUUGAGCUUUAGAGAGCCUGUUUUGAGCAACCAUUGCAUACUAAAAUUCUGUUACGCAUAUUCUUUUUCUGUUUUGGCAGAGCUACUACUACACUCUUAAGGAGUAAAUGUACUGCUGAAAUAGCAAUCUGAGUCUGAAUUAUAGAAUUAGAGAGCAUCAACAAAAGUAAUUUGGUAAGCUAGAAACAGACGCAUUUUUAAUGAUGAGCAUGCUUUGUGGGAUGAGUUUUUUUUUAAGAAGCUUGUGGGAUGAGUUAGUGGAGGAGGUGAAGGUUUUGUCUUGGAGGUGGGUGUUAGGAAGAUUUAAUGUGCCGGCUUGCAUGUAUUACGAGUGGUGUUGGUGUCCCUGCGAGUGUUUGUUGAGAUAAGUGGAGUUUGGCGCAAGUGUGGCAGGUUUUGUGUUUGCGGAGAGGGAGGUUUUGGCAGAUUGGUGCAGCUACUGUCAUGACAGGUUUUCUCCUGUUGGUUUGGCUGCUGUCAUGACAGCAGGUUGUUUUUUGUUGUGGUUGCUGGCAUGUUGAGGCUCCUGUUUGUUUUCUGCAUUUCUCCAGCUGUUGUGCGGCUUGUGUAGGAUUUUGGUAGGGGGUGUAAAGCGGUUGUGCUAUGAAAUUGAAUUCUAGAGCUCAUUCUGAGAAUUCAGCGGCAUAGCUCUAGCCUUUUGGCUCGGUUUUCGCUUAUCCUAGAGGACCUUGCACCGUUUUAUUUUUCUGGGGAAUGGUUUGGUGUAAUUUUUGGAUGUUACGUCUAUAUGCGGCAUCGUUGUUCUUCUUCCUUUCCGACUCUUUGCGUCUUGCUAGAGUUUCGGAUUCAAUAAUAUUUCUUGA
This is a long non-coding RNA of Medicago truncatula (barrel medic), 1496 nucleotides long. RefSeq lists it as uncharacterized. The transcript has 3 exons. NCBI's taxonomy places the organism in Eukaryota, Viridiplantae, Streptophyta, Magnoliopsida, Fabales, Fabaceae. The record is from RefSeq and is a predicted model, not a curated record.